This is a non-coding RNA of Streptomyces pratensis ATCC 33331, 120 nucleotides long. The record is from Rfam. NCBI's taxonomy places the organism in Bacteria, Bacillati, Actinomycetota, Actinomycetes, Kitasatosporales, Streptomycetaceae.
CAGUCCGCCCCGUGGGACACGACGACCGGCCCGGGCGCGUCCCGGCUACGCUGGCCGCGUGCCCCCUCCACAGAAGGGCGCAAAGCCGACAGCCGUCGCAUCCCAGGGAGAACAUCCAUG